RNAcentral lists this ribosomal RNA (300 nucleotides) under uncultured Prevotella sp. RNAcentral's name for it is "bacterial SSU rRNA". It matches the Rfam family "Bacterial small subunit ribosomal RNA", at positions 496 to 795 of the family's 1533-position model. The record is from RNAcentral. Lineage: Bacteria; Pseudomonadati; Bacteroidota; Bacteroidia; Bacteroidales; Prevotellaceae.
GCUAAUUCCGUGCCAGCAGCCGCGGUAAUACGGAAGGUCCAGGCGUUAUCCGGAUUUAUUGGGUUUAAAGGGAGCGUAGGCCGGAGAUUAAGUGUGUUGUGAAAUGUAGACGCUCAACGUCUGACUUGCAGCGCAUACUGGUUUCCUUGAGUACGCACAACGUUGGCGGAAUUCGUCGUGUAGCGGUGAAAUGCUUAGAUAUGACGAAGAACUCCGAUUGCGAAGGCAGCUGACGGGAGCGCAACUGACGCUUAAGCUCGAAGGUGCGGGUAUCAAACAGGAUUAGAUACCCUUGUAGUC